GUCCCUGUCGAUUAGUGGUUAAAUCAUCACGUUGUGGUGAUAUCAGAUCGCGUCCGUGAAGCCGGGAGCUCGAAUCUCCCCAGGGACA
This is a non-coding RNA of Stygiomarasmius scandens, 88 nucleotides long. Lineage: Eukaryota; Fungi; Basidiomycota; Agaricomycetes; Agaricales; Campanellaceae. The record is from the annotation of a GenBank genome assembly.